UCGGAUGGCAUCGUCUGAAUAUCAAAGGAGCAAUCCGCUGAAAGAUGGGCUCGCGUCUGAUUAGAUAGUUGGUGAGGUAACGGCUCACCAAGUCGACGAUCAGUAGCCGGACUAAGAGGUUGAACGGCCACAUUGGGACUGAGAUACGGCCCAGACUCCUACGGGAGGCAGCAGUGGGGAAUAUUGCACAAUGGGGGAAACCCUGAUGCAGCAACGCCGCGUGAAGGAAGACGGUUUUCGGAUUGUAAACUUCUUUUCUUAGUGAAGAAGAAAGUGACGGUAGCUAAGGAAUAAGCAUCGGCUAACUACGUGCCAGCAGCCGCGGUAAUACGUAGGAUGCAAGCGUUAUCCGGAUUUACUGGGUGUAAAGGGAGCGCAGGCGGGACUUCAAGUUGGAUGUGAAAUACCGGGGCUCAACCCCGGAGCUGCAUCCAAAACUGUAGUUCUUGAGUGGAGUAGAGGCAAGCGGAAUUCCGAGUGUAGCGGUGAAAUGCGUAGAUAUUCGGAGGAACACCAGUGGCGAAGGCGGCUUGCUGGGCUCUAACUGACGCUGAGGCUCGAAAGUGUGGGGAGCAAACAGGAUUAGAUACCCUGGUAGUCCACACUGUAAACGAUGAUAGCUAGGUGUGGGGGGUCUGACCCCUUCCGUGCCGGAGU
RNAcentral lists this ribosomal RNA (657 nucleotides) under uncultured bacterium. Its description in RNAcentral is "bacterial SSU rRNA". It matches the Rfam family "Bacterial small subunit ribosomal RNA", at positions 181 to 852 of the family's 1533-position model. The record is from RNAcentral.